RNAcentral lists this long non-coding RNA (643 nucleotides) under Anser brachyrhynchus (Pink-footed goose). RNAcentral's name for it is "lncRNA (ENSABRG00000011955.1)". Lineage: Eukaryota; Metazoa; Chordata; Aves; Anseriformes; Anatidae. The record is from RNAcentral.
AUUUUCCCUCUGUGUUCUCCCCCCCUUAUGUUUUUUCACAGAUCACUGGAGGCAAACAUCGAAUUAAUUGGAUCUCAGUGACUGAGGUUGGUAACAUUGUGCUGAACUAAGGUUAUCUCUGACAUUAUGUCCAGGUAUCUGCAAGAAUUUUUAGGCAUUUCUAGAGAAGAUCUCUCCUCCUGUCUGCCGAGAGGGUUGAACUGUAAAUCUGUCUCAAAUGAUGUACCCCUAAAAUGUAGGUAUCUGUGGAGGAAGAAGGUGUCGCGACGAGAACCGCCUGCCAGCCAGAGCGGGGACCUGCCCGGCAGAAGGCUACGUGAUGGACGAGGGCUGCGUGGUCACGAUGCAAAAGGCACAGCGGGACGGCGUGCUGGCACCAAACGCUUUUUUUUUUUUUUUUUUUUGUUCGCCACAACCAGAAGGAAACAUGGAGGGGGGCGAGGAGGGAAGGCAGUGGGGGCUGGGAGGGAGAGAUCGGAGAAGUUAGUGGUUGUCUGGAGUGUAAACACGAGUCCAUCAGCUCCUCGGGAGAAGGGCGGCUGCGCUCGGCAGACCCGCGGAGCCGCAGGACACAGGAGGGGCGGAGGCAGCCCCUGCCCGCCCCGGGUCCCCGCCGCACGUCCGGAGCCCCGAGGGCUGCAGG